This is a long non-coding RNA of Fukomys damarensis (Damara mole-rat), 299 nucleotides long. RefSeq lists it as uncharacterized. The transcript has 3 exons. The record is from RefSeq and is a predicted model, not a curated record. Lineage: Eukaryota; Metazoa; Chordata; Mammalia; Rodentia; Bathyergidae.
CAGUCUCCUGCCACCAGGUGGUGAACAACUUCCUCCACCACAGCCUUCUACCACGGGGCUUCUGCCUUGGAGCCAGCCGACCUAGACUGAACUGUCAGAAACUGGCAACAGCAUAGCACGGGUGUCUCAAACGCUGGCGAGACACUCUAAUGAAAAGAUGGAAAUAGCUUGGUGGAUGGGAUGUGUCUAAAGGAGCCAUGGUACCUGCAGACAACUUAGUUUACAAGAUGGAUCAAAGGAGGAGAAGAUGUGGUGGUCCAGCCAUCACAACACGAACAUGCCUGAGUCGGGGAGUGAGG